Molecule: long non-coding RNA, 1249 nt
Filed under: Malus domestica (apple)
Lineage: Eukaryota; Viridiplantae; Streptophyta; Magnoliopsida; Rosales; Rosaceae
Description: long non-coding RNA (MDOM_LNC005528)
Source: RNAcentral
UUAUACUACAAUAACCUUGUGAUUCUUGCAAGUAAAAUAGAAUGUUUUUAUCGCAUUCACAUAAGCAGUAAAAAUCCUAUCAAUCAUGACCCGUUAUUUUAAAUCUUGACUUUGCCACUCCGAUACUUGUUUAAAUUACAGAAAACCUAAUAAAAAAUAAUUUCAAAACUUUAAUUUUAACCAAAAUUAUUCAAACAACUUUAUUUAAUGAUUAAGAUAAAAAAAUUGCCGUAUCUCACACACUACGCGCACUGACACGCGGGCCCUCUUUCACAUGAAAUAACAGUUUUCCUUCUCUUUUCACAUCUUUACCAUCAUUUUUUAAAUUUUCCCCAUAUUCCUUUACCUCUCAUCUUUCACCGGUUCGCCCAACCUUCUUUCUCUUUUUUCACUCAUCUUUCACGUCAUGUUUUUUUGUUUUUUAGGAAGAGACGUCAUGUUUUUGUUUUCCCCAAAUUCCUUCCUUCCUCCCUCCUCUCACUUUCUCUCUCUCUCUCUCUCAUUCCUCUCCCCUCUCUCUCUCUCUCUCUCUCUCUCUCUCUCUCUCUCUCACCCUUGGUCAACUUUGGUAAGAUUUGUGUGGACCAACAUUUUACUUUCUCACAAUCUAUCACUAUAUCCUCUUCAUUAUUGUUUAUUAGAAAUUUAUUAAUUAAGAACAGUUCCUCAUAAAGUUUGAUUAAUCCGUAAUAUCAAAUAUUUUACAAAUGGUGAUUGUUUAUCAAUUAAUAUUUUAAAAUAGUAGUUAUUUCUCAAUUAAUAUUUUAGAAAUAGAGAUUAUUUCUUAAUAAAUACUAACGUUUGUCUACACAUUUUUUAGAAAAUGAGAAGGAGAGAGGGAGAGAACGUGGGAGGUUUUUGUUUUUUUUAUUUUACAUAUUAAAAAUAUUUUAACAUCAUCUGUAUGUGAGGCUUCAAUAAAAAACAGUAAAAGUUAAACCUGUGAAAUUACAUUAUUGCCCAUCUUUUUUUUUUGUGAUAGAAUAUUAAGUUGUCUUUUCACCAUCUUUUGGUUGACAAAGAGGAUUUCAUUAAUUAAUUAGUAGAGAUUCAUAACAUAGUGACUAUUCCUCAAUAAAUAUAAAUAUUUUUAAAAUAGUCAAUAAAUAUUUUAAAUAGUGACUAAUUCUUAAUUAAUAUUUUAAAAAUAGUGAUCGUCUCUCAGUAAGUAAAUAAAAAGUUCAUGGAAUGAUGGUAUAAAAAACAAAUAAUAACACAAAGAAUAAACGGGAGAGUGACGUGAGAGUGG